GGAAGGAUCAUUAUCAGGGCUUAUGCUCUCCAAUCUUGUGAAUAUACUGUCUUACGUUAAAACUUUCAACAACGGAUCUCUUGGCUCCGGCGUCGAUGAAGAACGCAGCGAACUGCGAUACGUGAUGUGAAUUGCAGAAUUGUGAAUCAUCGAACUUUUGAACGCAUAUUGCGCCUGUUGGUACUCCAAUGGGCACGUCUGUUUGAGCGUUGUCAAAUCUCGGAUGGCAAUGGAGGAUGCGAGCACCUCUGAAAUACCUCGGCAUUGUGCCACGGCGAAACGUGAAGCAUUGCUGGACUUUUGUUUUUUUUCCCAACCUCAGACAGACGAGAAUACCCGCUGAACUUAAGCAUAUCAAUAAGCGGAGGAACAGAAACCAACCGGGAUGGCCCCAGUAACGGCGAGCGAAGCGGCCACAGCUCAGAUUUGGAACCGGGCAACCGGGUUGUAAUCUGAAGAGGAGGAUCCUACAGCGGCUCGGCUAAAGUCCCCUGGAAUGGGGUGCCACAGACGGUGACAGCCCGGUAAAGCCCAUGCCAAUGUUCUGCGGGCCUCUCUCAACGAGUCGAGUUGUUUGGGAAUGCAGCUCUAAUUGGGAGGUAAAUUCCUUCUAAGGCUAAAUACCCGCCGGAGACCGAUAGCGAACAAGUAGAGUGAUCGAAAGAUGAAAAGCACUUUGGAAAGAGAGUUAAAAAGCGCGUGAAAUUGUUGAAAGGGAAGCGCUCGUUGUUAGACGUGGUGGAUUGCUCAAUCGGACUCCUGUCCGGUGCGCUCAAUUUCACCAGGCCAGCAUCGGUUUAGGCAAUCGGAUAACAGCACGGGAAUGUGGCUCUUCGGAGUGUUAUAGCCCGCGCCGACACGACUAGCUCAGACCGAGGUGUGCGUUUUUCACAGAUGCUGGCGUAAGAACACCGAGCGGCCCGUCUUGAAACACGGACCAAGGAGUUCACCGGAGGAGCGAGUAUUUGGGUGUCAAACCCAAAUGCGAAAUGAAAGUAAACGGAGGCGGGAACUUUUGUGCACCGUCGGCCGAUCCUGAUGUACUCGGACGGAUUUGAGCACGAGCUUCUCUGUUGAGACCCGAAAGAGUGUGAACUAUGCUUGGGUAUGGUGAAGUCAGAGGAAACUCUGAUGGAGGCCAAAAGCCGUACUGACGUGCAAAUCGUUGGCGCGAUCUGAGCAUAGGGGCGAAAGACUCAUCGAACAUUCUAGUAGCUGGUUCCUGC
This 1226-nucleotide unclassified non-coding RNA is filed under the name uncultured fungus. Its description in RNAcentral is "sequence contains 18S rRNA gene, ITS1, 5.8S rRNA gene, ITS2, 28S rRNA gene". The stretch from base 313 to 1226 matches the Rfam family "Eukaryotic large subunit ribosomal RNA", at positions 1 to 961 of the family's 3401-position model. The record is from RNAcentral. Lineage: Eukaryota; Fungi.